RNAcentral lists this ribosomal RNA (253 nucleotides) under uncultured bacterium. RNAcentral describes it as "partial 16S ribosomal RNA". It matches the Rfam family "Bacterial small subunit ribosomal RNA", at positions 524 to 776 of the family's 1533-position model. The record is from RNAcentral.
UACGUAGGGUGCGAGCGUUGUCCGGAAUUACUGGGCGUAAAGAGCUCGUAGGUGGUUUGUCGCGUUGUCCGUGAAAACUCACAACUCAAUUGUGGGCGUGCGGGCGAUACGGGCAGACUGGAGUACUGCAGGGGAGACUGGAAUUCCUGGUGUAGCGGUGGAAUGCGCAGAUAUCAGGAGGAACACCGGUGGCGAAGGCGGGUCUCUGGGCCGCUACUGACGCUGAGAAGCGAAAGCGUGGGGAGCGAACAGG